UGGUGCUUGCAUCAUGAUUUACAUUUGAGUGAGUGGCGAACUGGUGAGUAACACGUGGGAAACCUGCCCAGAAGCGGGGGAUAACACCUGAGAAACAGAUGCUAAUACCGCAUAACAACUUGGACCGCAUGGUCCGAGCUUGAAAGAUGGCUUCGGCUAUCACUUUUGGAUGGUCCCGCGGCGUAUUAGCUAGAUGGUGGGGUAACGGCUCACCAUGGCAAUGAUACGUAGCCGACCUGAGAGGGUAAUCGGCCACAUUGGGACUGAGACACGGCCCAAACUCCUACGGGAGGCAGCAGUAGGGAAUCUUCCACAAUGGACGAAAGUCUGAUGGAGCAACGCCGCGUGAGUGAAGAAGGGUUUCGGCUCGUAAAACUCUGUUGUUAAAGAAGAACAUAUCUGAGAGUAACUGUUCAGGUAUUGACGGUAUUUAACCAGAAAGCCACGGCUAACUACGUGCCAGCAGCCGCGGUAAUACGUAGGUGGCAAGCGUUGUCCGGAUUUAUUGGGCGUAAAGCGAGCGCACGCGGUUUUUUAAGUCUGAUGUGAAAGCCUUCGGCUCAACCGAAGAAGUGCAUCGGAAACUGGGAAACUUGAGUGCAGAAGAGGACAGUGGAACUCCAUGUGUAGCGGUGUAAUGCGUAGAUAUAUGUACGUACACCAGUGCCGAAGGCGGCUGUCUAGUCAGUAUCUGACGCUGAGGCUCGAAAGUAUGGGUAGCAAACAGGAUUAGAUACCCCGGUAGUCCUUUCUGUAAACGAUGCAUGCUAAGUGUUCGAGGGGGGCUGGCCUUCAGUGCAACAAAUAAAGCAUUAAGCAUUCCCCCUGGGGAGUACGGCCGCAAGGCUGAAACUCAAAGGAAUUGACGGGGGCCCGCACAAGCGGUGGAGCAUGCGGUUUAAUUCGAAGCUACGCGAAGAACCUUACACAGGUCUUGACAUACUAUGCAAAUCUAAGAGAUUAGACGUUCCCUUCGGGGACAUGGAUACAGGUGGUGCAUGGUUGUCGUCGAGCUCGCGUCGUGAGAUGUUGGGUUAAGUCCCGCAACGAGCGCAACCCUUAUUAUCAGUUGCCAGCAUUAAGUUGGGCACUCUGGUGAGACUGUCCGGUGACAAUCCGGAUAAUUUUUUUCAUAACGUCAAAUCAUCAUGCCCCUUAUGCCCUGGGCUACACACGUGCUACAAGGGCUAAUUGAACGAGUUGCGAACUCGCGAGAGUAAGCUGUUCUCCUUCCAGUCAUUGUCAGUUUGGAUUGUAGGCUGCAACUCAGCCCGCAUGAAGUCGCAAUCGCUA
Molecule: ribosomal RNA, 1293 nt
Filed under: Lactiplantibacillus plantarum
Lineage: Bacteria; Bacillati; Bacillota; Bacilli; Lactobacillales; Lactobacillaceae
Description: bacterial SSU rRNA
Rfam family: Bacterial small subunit ribosomal RNA
Source: RNAcentral